CCUACGGGAUGCAGCAGUGAGGAAUAUUGGUCAAUGGCCGGAAGGCUGAACCAGCCAUGCCGCGUGAAGGUCAGUGCCCUAUGGGCGUUAAACUUCUUUUGUGCGGGAGCAAUAAUGGUCACGUGUGGCCAGACGAGAGUACCGUAUGAAUAAGCAUCGGCUAACUCCGUGCCAGCAGCCGCGGUAAUACGGGGGAUGCAAGCGUUAUCCGGAUUUAUUGGGUUUAAAGGGUGCGUAGGCUGUGAGGUAAGUCAGCGGUGAAAUGCCCCCGCUCAACGGGGUGAAGUGCCAUUGAUACUGCCUGGCUGGAAUGCGGAUGCCGUAGGAGGAAUGUGUGGUGUAGCGGUGAAAUGCAUAGAUAUCACACAGAACACCGAUUGCGAAGGCAUCUCACGAAUCCGCGAUUGACGCUGAUGCACGAAAGCGUGGGUAUCAAACAGGAUUAGAUACCCCAGUAGUC
This 460-nucleotide ribosomal RNA is filed under the name uncultured bacterium. RNAcentral describes it as "partial 16S ribosomal RNA". It matches the Rfam family "Bacterial small subunit ribosomal RNA", at positions 338 to 795 of the family's 1533-position model. The record is from RNAcentral.